This 506-nucleotide ribosomal RNA is filed under the name uncultured bacterium. RNAcentral describes it as "bacterial SSU rRNA". It matches the Rfam family "Bacterial small subunit ribosomal RNA", at positions 33 to 518 of the family's 1533-position model. The record is from RNAcentral.
CGAGGACGACGCUGGCGGCGUGCCUAACACAUGCAAGUCGAGCGGGGACAUGCGACGGAUCGGAAGUUUUCGGAUGGAAGAGAAGAUGUAUGUUCUAGCGGCGGACGGGUGAGUAACGCGUGAACAAUCUGUCCUUCACAGGGGGAUAACACAGCGAAAGUUGUACUAAUACCGCAUGAGACCACGGUAGGGCAUCCUACAGGGGUCAAAGGAGCAAUCCGGUGAAGGGUGAGUUCGCGUCCGAUUAGAUAGUUGGUGAGGUAACGGCCCACCAAGUCGACGAUCGGUAGCCGACCUGAGAGGGUGAUCGGCCACAUUGGGACUGAGACACGGCCCAAACUCCUACGGGAGGCAGCAGUGGGGAAUAUUGGGCAAUGGGGGAAACCCUGACCCAGCAACGCCGCGUGAGGGAAGAGGGUUUUCGGAUCGUAAACCUCUGUCCUUGGUGAAGAGGAAGAGACGGUAGCCAAGGAGGAAGCCCCGGCUAACUACGUGCCAGCCGCGGC